CGGAAGUUGAUACAUUUUAACCUGGAAUAUUUACCAAACACUAAGGAUACACAGGGACCGAGACGCUGAGCAAUGGGUAUGCAAUAAAAAGGUAAGGGUGGCUGCUGGAACGGUUGGGACCAUCAGGAGGAUGGCUAGGAAGAGAGAGUGACAGGACACCUCAUCAGAGCCCAAGAGUGCGUCACACAUCCCAAUUCCGUUGCCCGAUGAAUAUCGAAAGACCCUUAUCUUUGACAACGAGUCUGCAGCUCGCAUUCUGAUAUUUGCCUCAGAGAAUGGUCUUCGACUCAUAGACAAUGCCGACACCUGGUUCCUGAAUGGCACCCACUCGUCAAGUAUGACAAUUGAACAACUCCAUCGCAGUUCCAGCAGCCAGCUGCUCAUCCUUCGCGUUUCCUUAGGAGAGACCUUCCAGCUAUCGGACAGGAGCGAUGGCAGAAGUUCUAACAUUAGACGACGUUUAAUCGAACGAUUCGAAAGAGCUCUGCCUUACAUUACAUUUAUUUAUUGAUGUAACAUUAUUGAUGAAUAUUACAACUAUAAAUGAAAUUAAAUAUAUAAAUUGAAAAUUAUCAAUAACUCUUGCAUUGGAAAUUAAUAAUAAUAUAAUACUUGAAUUUGGGAAAUUAUUAAAAUAUGUUUAAUUAUAAAGAAUAUAAUUGUAAAAUUAAGUAAUAUAAUUUUGAACAAAAUAUUUCAUGAGAAUAUGUAAAAAUGUUCUAGAUCAGUAAUUUGAACGGUAAAAACAGAUAAAAUAUGUGAUAGCGGUAAGAAUAAUUGCAGUAGUGAAUUAUAAUCAGGUCAUACAAUCUCGAACGUCCGUCGAUCUGGCAAAACGUUCUUAUUGUAAGUGCAAUCUGAUUGCCUCUAGCAUUCUAGUCUGGGUUAGCUAUUUAUAACAUCGGUUGAAUGUAGUUAAUGUUGUCUACACGUUUCCUGCAUGAUUGAAUCAGUACAUUUAGAGAUUCAGCCAAUCAACAAUUAGCACGUGUGAAGAUUAAUACUUCUUACCAAUCAGAACAGCACACGUAACAAUCAAAUGUUUCGUUCUUUAUAUCUUUGCUAGUAUGAAUGGAGUAUCAUGACCACAGCCGGAUAGAAAUGGUCGUAAUUUCUUGCUAUCGCAGGCGGGGAUCGUUUUGGGGUCUUCGCUUUCAUUUUGAAAAACAUUUUGAAAACGCGAUGUUUAAGCAGAAAUAAAACUUUAAGAAAUCUGAAUUGGAAUUUGUCAACGUUUAUUGUCUACGUUUACGUUUAUCGUGUUUCUCGAGGAACUACGUUACAUUUAUUAAUAAAACUUCCGUUAUAAUCACAUGAUAAAAUCAAAACAAUAGCAUGGUGUAGGUCCAACUGGGCAGAUCCAAUUAUA
This is a long non-coding RNA of Dreissena polymorpha, 1369 nucleotides long. RefSeq lists it as uncharacterized. The transcript is spliced from 3 exons. NCBI's taxonomy places the organism in Eukaryota, Metazoa, Mollusca, Bivalvia, Myida, Dreissenidae. The record is from RefSeq and is a predicted model, not a curated record.